AGGAUGAGUGAAAAAAUGUUUCUCCCACUGAAAACACUACGUCCAGAUGAGCAGAAUCAUUGUUUUGAGAUUUUACCAGAAAGGCUUUAGGACCCAUCACAGAGGCGUCGCUGUCAGCAGAUGUGGUGUGUGGAUCUUUAGACGUUGUUGCUCAGAUCCAGACUCAGAUUUGGUGCCUUUCAGCGUCUGAAGAUGUGUUCGAGUCUCUCCACCAGCCGCCUGAUUCUGCUGAUCUCCCUGAGUGUGAUGAUGCUCAUCUCUGUAUCAGGAGCUGACCACGUGGGGAUACGCUGCUAUAAAAACCAUUCUAACCAAAGUACAAGAACCACGUUUGCACCUAAAUGUGCAAAAAACAUCAUCAGCUGCUUUGAACGCGACAGACCAGACUGCCUUCCUGGCUAUGAGGUUAAAAUAAGCAGUGGAAGAACAUUUUUCCUCAGACCAAACACCGAGUGGCUUAAAAGGAAAAUAAAUGAGAGAACUCUGCUGUGUCCUCCAAUGUUUUCAGCUUAAAUAACUGAAGCUAUUAAUCUUUAAUGAGUCCUCCCACUAUAGUUUGUAUAUUCCAGCUGCACCACAGUGUUUAGAAGCAGUGACUAAAUGUCAUCUUACAUGUCUUGUAGGUUUCUUAAUUCACACGCUGAUUUUCAUAGAUUUAAUCUAAGUAAAGAUGAUGAAAACGAUGAAACAAAGUUAAAGUAAAGCAGCUGCUGGAAACAUUUCUGCUCAUUUAUUAGUUCACACUUUGACAGAAAUAUUUGUUAAGAAAUGUAAAUUAUUUUUUGCAAAUUAUUCAUAGCGCUUUAACAGUCUUGUGUUCACAUAUAUAUACAAUACAAAACAAUUUUACUAUAUAACAUGUUUAAAACCAGGGGGUACACCAAAUUGCUUCACAGUAAGGAAUAAACAGUAAAAUUAUUACACUGAACAGUAAGUCAUUUAAAGAAUGUAAAAUAGAGAAACAAACAAAGGCAUUUGUAAGUAGGGAUUGGGAGAAUUCAUGAUAAUCCAGAGAAAUGAGUAAAGAUACGCCAGCUAGUGAUUGGUGAGAAUUAGCAAAUAUACUACAAAUGUCAUUAAAUAUGAAUGUUAUUCUGUCUUCAAGCUGAGAACAAAGACAAAUCAAUAAAAGCUUCUGAAAUCA
This is a long non-coding RNA of Oreochromis niloticus (Nile tilapia), 1144 nucleotides long. RefSeq lists it as uncharacterized. The record is from RefSeq and is a predicted model, not a curated record. Lineage: Eukaryota; Metazoa; Chordata; Actinopteri; Cichliformes; Cichlidae. The transcript is spliced from 5 exons.